UCAAGUACCGUGAGGGAAAGUUGCAAAGUACUCUGAAAAGAGAGUGAACAAGCCUGUGAAACUGUGCAUUGCAAAGCGAAUGAUAGAAAGUGCGAACUCAACGUUCAAUCACUCGUUUGUUCCUAUAUGAUUGUUUUUCUUAGAAUAACAACGAGUGGCUUGUUCAAAGAGUUUCGUUUAUGCAACACCUGUCAAUUGCGGUUAUCAAUUUGAGAAUGGGUAUUUUAUAAUACUUGUUGUUCAUUGUGUUAUUGCAUUUUGCAUAACAGCGGACAUGACUGGUGUUUAUUGAUUACUUGGUAUGAUGAAUUCAUUUAUACUGUUGAUGUAUAAUAAGAAUUAUCAAGUUUGAUUGGUGCAUGAGCUUUAAAAUCUGUCAUCUGAACCGUCUUGAAACACGGACUAAGGAGUUCAACUUGAGCGCAAGUCGACUACGUGAAUAAAGUUUGGGGCAAAGUGAAAGCAAUUUCAUAAAUGUUAACGGAAAUUCAAUUUGAAUUACGGUUAGCACAUGAUCUGGGUAGCAAUUUUUUAAUUGCUUACUGCAACAGAGCGCUUUGGUUGUGACCCGAAAGAUGGUGAACUAUGCCUGAUUAGGAUGAAGCCAGGGGAAACCCUGGUGGAGGUCCGCAACGAUUUUGACGUGCAAAUCAAUCGCCAGAGUUGGGUAUAGCGGCGAAAGACUAAUCGAACCAUCUAGUUGCUGGUUCCGUUCGAAGUUUCCCUCAGGAUAGCUGGKGGAAUGACAGAUUUUAAAGCUCAU
This 763-nucleotide ribosomal RNA is filed under the name Rhadinorhynchus sp. GV-2023. RNAcentral's name for it is "partial large subunit ribosomal RNA". Lineage: Eukaryota; Metazoa; Acanthocephala; Palaeacanthocephala; Echinorhynchida; Rhadinorhynchidae. The record is from RNAcentral.